CCUAGAUGAAACCGCGUACCACCUCAUUUUCUCGGUCGCAUACGUUAAACAGAACUUUGGCUAUACUCCUCUUAAGAGCAUUUUGUCAAGACAACGGCCUAUUAUUCACAUAACCUGGAUGUCAAAUAUGCGGAAUGGAUGUUCAGCACCUUCUAAAUUAUGUUAUGCAGUUCCACAAAACCUAGAGGAGGAUAGGACCGAAUGGAAGAGGAGAAUUGAGGAGGCCAUGGACCGAAUACGGACCGGAUAGCCAUAGAAGAAGAAGUAGUUCCGCAAACCUAAUUAAUUUUCUUGUGCUUGGAUUUUUGAAGUGCUUUGGACGGAAACACAGCACUACUACAGUGCUGCUGUGCAUUAACCGACUAAGAGCCACAUUCAGAUUUGACUGUGUACAACCUUUAAAAAAAACAUGUUAUUGAGAUACAGUCACAUUCAGAAAUGAAAUUAUGGAAUAAGGAAUGGGAGGAAUACACAUAAUACAAAGGAAUGAACGAAGAAAGAACACCUGUUGCAGUACAAGGAAAGACUGAUGUUUUCAAGUAAGAAUGUACAACAGCUGCAUAAUAUUAAAAAAAAUGCGAAACUGUGUACAAAAGAAAUGGAUAAUUUCAUUACAAGUAAAUGUAAUCAACAAA
This is a long non-coding RNA of Zootermopsis nevadensis, 635 nucleotides long. RefSeq lists it as uncharacterized. The record is from RefSeq and is a predicted model, not a curated record. NCBI's taxonomy places the organism in Eukaryota, Metazoa, Arthropoda, Insecta, Blattodea, Termopsidae.